Molecule: ribosomal RNA, 254 nt
Filed under: uncultured bacterium
Lineage: Bacteria
Description: partial 16S ribosomal RNA
Rfam family: Bacterial small subunit ribosomal RNA
Source: RNAcentral
UACGGGGGGAGCAAGCGUUGUUCGGAUUUACUGGGCGUAAAGGGCGCGUAGGCGGUCAGCACAAGUCAGUUGUGAAAUCUCCGGGCUUAACUCGGAAAGGUCAACUGAUACUGUGCGACUAGAGUGCAGAAGGGGCAACUGGAAUUCUCGGUGUAGCGGUGAAAUGCGUAGAUAUCUGAAGGAACAUCAGUGGCGAAAGCGACUUCCUGGACCAAUACUGACGCUCAUGUGCGAAAGCGUGGGGAGCGAACAGG